AUGAAACCAUCAGAAGCCAUUCUUGUACCUGCUCCAGCUGCAACCCCAGAUCAGCCACAUAGACUUCCUGCUGCUAAUCCUGGGAUGAUCCCAAGCAACAGCAAGCAGGUGAGAUUAAGUGACGCUAUGAAACCAUCAGAAGCCAUUCUUGUACCUGCUCCAGCUGCAACCCCAGGUCAGCCACAUAGACUUCCUGCUGCUAAUCCUGGGAUGAUCCCAAGCAACAGCAAGCAGGUGAGACUAAGUGACGCUAUGAAACCAUCAGAAGCCAUUCUUGUACCUGCUCCAGCUGCAACCCCAGGUCAGCCACAUAGACUUCCUGCUGCUAAUCCUGGGAUGAUCCCAAGCAUGGCCCCAAACAUCAACUUACCUGCCCUAGGACAGCCACUAGCCAUGACACGGACCGCUCGGCGUGUUUACGUCGGUGGAAUUCCUCCAAUCGCCAAUGAACAGACGGUAGCCCAAUUCUUCAACCAAGUUAUGGCUGCUAUCAAAGGGAACACAUCUGGCCUAGGUAAUGCGGUUGUUAAUGUGCACCUAAACAAUGAGAAGAAAUUUGCUUUUGUUGAAAUGAGGUCUGUGGAGGAAGCAAGCAAUGCAAUGGCCUUGGAUGGUAUAAUGUUCGAGGGAGCAAGAGUUAAAGUUAGGAGGCCAACAGACUACAACCCUUCCCAGGCAGCUGCAUUGGGUCCGAGCCAGCCCAAUCCCAACCUCAAUCUUGCUGCUGUUCACUUGCCUAGACAGGUAACCCGGCGCAGGCCGUGA
RNAcentral lists this ribosomal RNA (765 nucleotides) under Triticum aestivum (bread wheat). RNAcentral's name for it is "partial small subunit ribosomal RNA". The record is from RNAcentral. Lineage: Eukaryota; Viridiplantae; Streptophyta; Magnoliopsida; Poales; Poaceae.